UACGGAGGGUGCGAGCGUUGUCCGGAUUUAUUGGGCGUAAAGAGCGUGUAGGCGGCCGCACAGGUCCGUUGUGAAAACUGGAGGCUUAACCUUCAGACGUCGAUGGAAACCGUGCGGCUAGAGUCCGGAAGAGGAGAGUGGAAUUCCUGGUGUAGCGGUGAAAUGCGCAGAUAUCAGGAAGAACACCGAUGGCGAAGGCAGGUCUCUGGGCACUUACUGACGCUGAGGAGCGAAAGCGUGGGGAGCGAACAGG
RNAcentral lists this ribosomal RNA (253 nucleotides) under uncultured bacterium. RNAcentral's name for it is "partial 16S ribosomal RNA". It matches the Rfam family "Bacterial small subunit ribosomal RNA", at positions 524 to 776 of the family's 1533-position model. The record is from RNAcentral.